Molecule: ribosomal RNA, 405 nt
Filed under: uncultured bacterium
Lineage: Bacteria
Description: bacterial SSU rRNA
Rfam family: Bacterial small subunit ribosomal RNA
Source: RNAcentral
GUGGGGAAUCUUAGACAAUGGGGGCAACCCUGAUCUAGCCAUGCCGCGUGGAUGAUGAAGGCCUUAGGGUCGUAAAGUCCUUUCGCCGGGGAAGAUAAUGACGGUACCCGGUAAAGAAGCCCCGGCUAACUCCGUGCCAGCAGCCGCGGUAAUACGGAGGGGGCUAGCGUUGUUCGGAAUGACUGGGCGUAAAGCGCGCGUAGGCGGGCGGUCAAGUUGGGGGUGAAAGCCCGGGGCUCAACCCUGGAACGGCCUCCAAUACUGACGGCCUAGAGUUCGAGAGAGGUGGGUGGAAUUCCGAGUGUAGAGGUGAAAUUCGUAGAUAUUCGGAGGAACACCAGUGGCGAAGGCGGCCCACUGGCUCGACACUGACGCUGAGGUGCGAAAGCGUGGGGAGCAAACAGG